CUACGGGCUGCUCCAGUGAGGAAUAUUGGACAAUGGGGGAAACCCUGAUCCAGCAAUGCCGCGUGUGUGAAGAAGGCCUGCGGGUUGUAAAGCACUUUCGGUUGGGAGGACUGCUUCUAGCACUAAUAUUGUUGGAAGUUGACGUUACCUUCAGAAGAAGCACCGGCUAACUCCGUGCCAGCAGCCGCGGUAAUACGGAGGGUGCAAGCGUUAAUCGGAAUUACUGGGCGUAAAGCGCGCGUAGGCGGCUAGAUCAGUCGGGUGUGAAAGCCCCGGGCUUAACCUGGGAACUGCAUCCGAUACUGUCUAGCUUGAGUACAGGAGAGGAGAGUGGAAUUCCACAUGUAGCGGUGAAAUGCGUAGAUAUGUGGAGGAACACCAAUGGCGAAGGCAGCUCUCUGGCCUGAUACUGACGCUGAGGUGCGAAAGCGUGGGGAUCAAACAGGAUUAGAUACCCUCGUAGUC
Molecule: ribosomal RNA, 465 nt
Filed under: uncultured bacterium
Lineage: Bacteria
Description: partial 16S ribosomal RNA
Rfam family: Bacterial small subunit ribosomal RNA
Source: RNAcentral